AACGUCCCGAAAGGGACGCUAAUACCGCAUAACAUCCUGCUUUUGAAUAAGUGGAGAUCAAAGCCGGGGAUCGCAAGACCUGGCGUUUGAAGAGGGGCCCGCGUCUGAUUAGCUAGUUGGUGAGGUGACGGCCCACCAAGGCGACGAUCAGUAUCCGGCCUGAGAGGGCGGACGGACACACUGGGACUGAGACACGGCCCAGACUCCUACGGGAGGCAGCAGUGGGGAAUUGUUCGCAAUGGGCGCAAGCCUGACGACGCAACGCCGCGUGGAGGAUGAAGGUCUUCGGAUUGUAAACUCCUGUUGCCCGGGACGAAACGCUUCGACCUAACACGUCGAAGUCUGACGGUACCGGGUGAGGAAGCCCCGGCUAACUCUGUGCCAGCAGCCGCGGUAAUACAGAGGGGGCAAGCGUUGUUCGGAAUUACUGGGCGUAAAGGGCGCGUAGGCGGCCUUCUAAGUCAGACGUGAAAUCCCCGGGCUCAACCCGGGAACUGCGUCUGAUACUGGAAGGCUUGAAUCCGGGAGAGGGAUGUGGAAUUCCAGGUGUAGCGGUGAAAUGCGUAGAUAUCUGGAGGAACACCGGUGGCGAAGGCGGCAUCCUGGACCGGUAUUGACGCUGAGGCGCGAAAGCCAGGGGAGCAAACGGGAUUAGAUACCCCGGUAGUCCUGGCCCUAAACGAUGAAUGCUUGGUGUGGCGGGUAUCGAUCCCUGCCGUGCCGAAGCUAACGCAUUAAGCAUUCCGCCUGGGGAGUACG
RNAcentral lists this ribosomal RNA (759 nucleotides) under uncultured Acidobacteriota bacterium. RNAcentral describes it as "bacterial SSU rRNA". It matches the Rfam family "Bacterial small subunit ribosomal RNA", at positions 145 to 884 of the family's 1533-position model. Lineage: Bacteria; Pseudomonadati; Acidobacteriota. The record is from RNAcentral.